Ochotona princeps (American pika) is the source of this 108-nucleotide ribosomal RNA. Lineage: Eukaryota; Metazoa; Chordata; Mammalia; Lagomorpha; Ochotonidae. The record is from Ensembl.
GCCUACUGCCAUACCACCCUGAAUGCGCCCAAUCUCGUCAAAUCUCAGAAGCUAAGCAGGGUCGGGCCUGGUUAGUACUUGGAUGGGAGAGAUCUGGUAUAAGAGCCA